Molecule: transfer RNA, 73 nt
Filed under: Ethanoligenens harbinense YUAN-3
Lineage: Bacteria; Bacillati; Bacillota; Clostridia; Eubacteriales; Oscillospiraceae
Rfam family: tRNA
About the family: Transfer RNA (tRNA) molecules are approximately 80 nucleotides in length. Their secondary structure includes four short double-helical elements and three loops (D, anti-codon, and T loops).
Source: Rfam by way of RNAcentral
AGGGGUAUAGCUCAGUUGGUAGAGCAGCGGUCUCCAAAACCGCGUGCCGUGGGUUCAAGUCCUACUACCCCUG